This 444-nucleotide ribosomal RNA is filed under the name uncultured bacterium. RNAcentral's name for it is "SSU rRNA". It matches the Rfam family "Bacterial small subunit ribosomal RNA", at positions 26 to 518 of the family's 1533-position model. The record is from RNAcentral.
AGAGCGAACGCUGGCGGCAGGCCUAACACAUGCAAGUCGAGCGCCCCGCAAGGGGAGCGGCAGACGGGAGAGUAACACGUGGGAACGUACCCUUCAGUUCGGAACAACCCAGGGAAACUUGGGCUAAUACCGAAUACGUCCGUAAGGAGAAAGAUUUAUCGCUGAAGGAUCGGCCCGCGUCUGAUUAGCUAGUUGGUGGGGUAAUGGCCCACCAAGGCGACGAUCAGUAGCUGGUCUGAGAGGAUGAUCAGCCUCAUUGGGACUGAGACACGGCCCAAACUCCUACGGGAGGCAGCAGUUAGGAAUCUUGCGCAAUGGGCGAAAGCCUGACGCAGCGACGCCGCGUGCGGGAUGACGGCCCUCGGGUUGUAAACCGCUUUCAGCAGGGACGAUUAUGACGGUACCUGCAGAAGAAGCCCCGGACAACUACGUGCCAGCAGCCGC